AGUGAACGCUGGCGGUAGGCCUAACACAUGCAAUUCGAACGGCAGCACAGAGGAGCUUGCUCCUUGGGUGGCGAGUGGCGAACGGGUGAGUAAUGCAUCGGAACGUACCCGGCAGUGAGGGAUAACGUAGCGAAAGUUACGCUAAUACCGCAUAUUCUGUGAGCAGGAAAGAGGGGGAUCGUAAGACCUCUCGCUUUCGGAGCGGCCGAUGUCGGAUUAGCUAGUUGGUGGGGUAAAGUCCAACCAAGGCGACGAUCCGUAGCGGGUCUGAGAGGAUGAUCCGCCAGACUGGAAUUGAGACACGGUCCAGACUCCUACGGGAGGCAGCAGUGGGGAAUUUUGGACAAUGGGCGAAAGCCUGAUCCAGCCAUGCCGCGUGAGUGAAGAAGGCCUUCGGGUUGUAAAGCUCUUUCGGCUGAAAAGAAAUCGCACAGGCUAAUAUCUUGUGUGGAUGACGGUAUCAGCAUAAGAAGCACCGGCUACCUACGUGCAAGCCGCCGCCGUAA
RNAcentral lists this ribosomal RNA (506 nucleotides) under uncultured bacterium. RNAcentral's name for it is "partial 16S ribosomal RNA". It matches the Rfam family "Bacterial small subunit ribosomal RNA", at positions 29 to 523 of the family's 1533-position model. The record is from RNAcentral.